Carcharodon carcharias (great white shark) is the source of this 155-nucleotide long non-coding RNA. RefSeq lists it as uncharacterized. The record is from RefSeq and is a predicted model, not a curated record. The transcript has 3 exons. NCBI's taxonomy places the organism in Eukaryota, Metazoa, Chordata, Chondrichthyes, Lamniformes, Lamnidae.
CUUAACUUCUUUAGGUACAGGAAAAAAUAAAUCUACAGGUUUGCAAUGAGCUGCUUAGAUCCUCUAUUUGGGAACUUGGGCUUUCUACAUUUGCCCUUCAGAGAUCGAUUCAGAUAUCCAAGAGCUGCAACUUGGCCAGGCAGUGGUGAAAGCGC